UGAGUUUUAUGUGAAAAAAAAUAUUUAAUGGCUAAUAUUAGGAGAACCAGGUCAAAUUUAGUGAUCUGCAGAGCCUCACUAGAGACCCUAACGUGUCAAAUGGUGAUUGGUCAUUGGGUUUUUGUUUUUAUUUUGUUUUUUAUUGAAACCCUCUACAUGUUUUAGAGUCUUUGCAUAAGAGAAUUCAUUUUGUCCGAUAUCUC
RNAcentral lists this long non-coding RNA (203 nucleotides) under Eutrema salsugineum. Its description in RNAcentral is "long non-coding RNA (ESAL_LNC001743)". Lineage: Eukaryota; Viridiplantae; Streptophyta; Magnoliopsida; Brassicales; Brassicaceae. The record is from RNAcentral.